UGCUAUUUCAAAUAACGCCAAUAGUGGAUGCCUAGGAAGUAUAGACCGAAGAAGGACGCAUCAAGGUUCGCGAUAAACGUCGGGGAGUGACCUAUGACACUUUGAUCCGGCGGUGUCCGAAUGGGGAAACCCACCCGUAAGGGGAGCUUCUACUGAAGUUUGUUUGAAUUUAUUCAGACAAUAUUAGGUAGCAGUAGGAAACCCGGGAAACUGAAACAUCUAAGUACCCGGAGGAAUAAAAAUCACAGAGAUUCCGUCAGUAGCGGCGAGUGAAAGCGGAACAGCCUAAACUACUCGUAGCAAUACCAGUAGUGUUGCAGGGUGACUGGCUUAAAUGCAAUGGAGUACAAGAGAAAGAUAGCAGAAGGUGCUGGAACUGCACUACCAAAGGGAGUGAUAGUCUCGUAAGCGAAAUUUUUCUCUCUCCUCGUUAUACCCUAAGUACUAUGAGGCACGAUUUAAACCUUGUAGGAAUCUGGGGCGACCACGCUCCAAGGCUAAAUAUCUAUACUUACCGAUAGUGAACUAGUACCGUGAGGGAAAGGUGAAAAGCACCCCGGGAGGGGAAUGAAAUAGUACCUGAAACUAUUGGCUAACAAGCAGACAGAGUCCCGCCUCGGCGGGAUGAUGUCGUGCCUAUUGAAGAAUGAGCCGGUGAGUUAAUUUAUAUUCCAAGUCUAAGUAAGGUAAGUCUUACGGAGGCGUAGUGAAAGCGAGCCCUAACUGGGCGAAAAUAUAGGAGUGUAGAUUAGACCCGAAACCAGGUGAGCUAACCAUGAGCAGGUUGAACUCUCGCGAAAGUUGAGAGGAAGGACCGAACCCUUUUCCGUUGCAAUGGGAUGGGAUGACUUGUGGUUAGGGGCGAUAUGCCAAACGAACCUGGAGAUAGCUGGUUCUCCCCGAAAUAUAUCUUGGUAUAGCUUCCGUUAAAAGCUUGCUGGGGGUAGAGCACUGAAUGGAUCUGGGUGGCGAAAGCUAUUCAAUUCAAUCAAACUCCGAAUACCAGUGUAGUGUUGACGGAAAGUCAGAACUGCGGGGCUAAGCUCGUGGUUCGAAAGGGAAACAACCCAGACUUUCAGCUAAGGUCUCUAAAUUCAUGCUAAGUUGUUAAGGAAGUCAUUGUCCUCAGACAGCUAGGAGGUUGGCUUAGAAGCAGCCAUCCUUUAAAGAAAGCGUAACAGCUCACUAGUCGAUUUGGGAUAGUGGCGCCGAAAAUGAUCGAGGAUUAAGCAUGAUACCGAAGCUAGAGAUCCCGCCGUAAGGCGUGGAUGGUAGGGGAGCGUUGUAUACGCUUUGAAGCUGAACUGUAAGGUUUGGUGGAGUAUAUACAAGUGAGAAUGCCGGCAUGAGUAGCGUAUUGCACCUGAGAACGGUGCACGCCAAAAGCCUAAGGAUUCCUUCGCAAUGUAAGUCAGCGAAGGGUUAGUCGGCACCUAACGGUAGCCCGUCAAUAAGCGCGGGAUAGCCGGAUGGACGAGUCGUUAAAAUUCGACUACUUUAUAUUGAUCGUUAUAACUUAAGGAUUGACUGGAAUGGAAGAGACAGCCCGAUACGUCGGGUUUAAAUCACGAGGCAGUGAGAAAUUGGUAAAUCCGUUUUCGCGUUUUAACCGAGUGAUGAUGACAAAUAGGAAACGCAAGAAGUACUAUGAGUGUUAUCUUUCAAUCUACGAGAAAAGGUUCGUAAGGAGAGCAAUAUGGAGCCGUACCGCAUUACCGACACAGGUAGGCAAGUCGAGUAGACUAAGGCGAUCGUGAGAAGUGUGUUCAAGGAACUCUGCAAAAAAUCUAGGCGUAACCUAUGGGAGAUGCCUUGCCUGCACGAGAGUGUAGGCCAUAUGCAAAAGAAUGCUUAGCAACUGUUUAUCUAAAACACAGGUCCCUGCAAAACCGAAAGGUAAGGUAUAGGGGCUGACACCUGCCCAGUGCCGGUAAGUCAAAAAUCUCGGAUGAAGACUCGUAAGAGUAUCAGUCUAGGAUUUAAGCUCCGGUGAACGGCAGCAGUAACUAUAACUGUUCUAUGGUAGCGAAGUUCCUUGUCGGGUGAGUUCCGACCCGCACGAAUGGUAGAAUGACUGAGCAACUGUCUUGAACACAUACACGGCGAAAUUGAGAUGGCUGUGAAGACGCGGCCUGGUUGUCCUUGGACAAAAAGACCCCGGGAGCUUUACUGUAGCUUGGCAUUUGUGAGUUUUUUCUAACUGUUUAGAAUAGGAGGGAGGCUUCGGCCGAUCGUGAAAUACCUCUCUUUGGAAAGAGCAAGCAUUACUUCUUUACCGCAUAAAAACUCGGUAGAAGGACAUUGUCUGGUGGGCAGUUUGACUGGGGAGGUCGCCUCCUAAAUGGCAACGGAGGUGUACAAAGGUUGGCUUAGCACGGAUGGAAAUCGUGCUGAAUCUAUAUUGGGAUAAGCCAGCUUGACUGCGAGAGUUACAACUCGAGCAGGUGCGAAAGCAGGUCAAAGUGAUCCUGCGCUGCAUAGUGGUAUGCACGUAGCUUAACGGAUAAAAGCUACCCCGGGGAUAACAGGCUGAUCGCUCCCAAGCGUCCACAGCGACGGGGCGGUUUGGCACCUUGAAAUAUUUGAAACCCAAAUAUCGGGGCGCCUUAACUGCAAAGUUAAAGCCUGAUUCUUCAGAAGUAAGAUUGAUAGGUCUUUUUGUUGAAUAAAAAUACUAGCUCAAAUCGGUGAACUCCUUUUUUUGAACAAGAAAGGACAAUACCGAGAGGAGAAUAGUUUGAAGUUCAAAAUUUUAAGUUCAAGAUUAUAAAUAGCAAUAUUAUUAACUUUGAAUUUUUAACUAGUAACUUUAAAUUGUUUUUCUUGUAUCGACUGUUUCCGCCUCAUCGGCGGAACGAUGGAAAUUACUAUCCCGCUCAGCGGGAUAAAUCUAAGAUUUUCAUAAUACGGCUAGCUCUGCUUGUGCGCCAGCACAAGAGUUUUCAGUGAUCAUUUUUCAGUUCUCAUUGAGAAUUGUGAAUUGUGAAUUGGUAAUUCUCGCGAAAGCGAGUAGAUGAAGGUAUAGUCAGCCCCUUUGGUAACAGAGGAUUUAAUUUUCGAAUCAUCGAAAUUUGAGACAGCGAUGUCGGCUCAUCCUAGCGCGGAGGUGGAGAAGCUUCCAAGCGUCUGGCUGUUCGCCAGUUAAAAGGGUACGCGAGCUGGGUUAAGAGCGUCGUGAGACAGCUCGGUCUCUAUCCAGGAUAACCGUUUGAGAUUUGAAGGGAGUUGCCCCUAGUACGAGAGGACUGGGGUGAGGGAAUCCCUGGUGUGCCGGCUGUACCAUAGAAUGGGCAUCGUCGGGUAGCUAUAUUCCCAUGGGAUAACCGCUGAAAGCAUCUAAGUGGGAAGCCCACCUUAAGAUAAGAUCUCUUAGACCCCUUGAAGACCACGAGGUUGAUAGGCUGCAAGUGUAAGGCGAGUAAUCGUUUCAGCUUAGCAGUACUAAUCGGUCGAGAAGUAGUACA
Molecule: ribosomal RNA, 3464 nt
Filed under: Candidatus Levyibacteriota bacterium
Lineage: Bacteria; Candidatus Levyibacteriota
Description: 23S ribosomal RNA
Rfam family: Bacterial large subunit ribosomal RNA
Source: RNAcentral